GAUCCUGGCUCAGAACGAACGCUGGCGGCGCGUCUUAAGCAUGCAAGUCGAACGGCAAGAUUAGUGCUUGCACUAAUCCUAGAGUGGCGGGCUGGUGAGUAACGCGUGGGUGACGUACCCUCUGAUGGGGAUAGCUACUAGAAAUAGUAGAUAAUACCGAAUACGAUUCCGUAAGUUAGAGGUGCGGAAUGAAAGGAGCUUCGGCUCCGCGGAAGGAACGGCCCGCGUACCAUUAGCUAGUUGGUGUGGUAACGGCAUACCAAGGCGAUGAUGGUUACCCGGCCUAAGAGGGUGAUCGGGCACAUUGGGACUGAGAUACGGCCCAGACUCCUACGGGAGGCAGCAGCUAAGAAUAUUCCGCAAUGGAGGAAACUCUGACGGAGCGACGCCGCGUGGAUGAUGAAGGCCGGAAGGUUGUAAAAUCCUUUUAAGCAAGAAGAAUAAACUUUACAGGGAAUGGUAGAGUGGUGACGGUAUUGCUUGAAUAAGCAACGGCUAAUUACGUG
RNAcentral lists this ribosomal RNA (506 nucleotides) under uncultured bacterium. RNAcentral's name for it is "bacterial SSU rRNA". It matches the Rfam family "Bacterial small subunit ribosomal RNA", at positions 15 to 507 of the family's 1533-position model. The record is from RNAcentral.